Molecule: ribosomal RNA, 2372 nt
Filed under: Triticum aestivum (bread wheat)
Lineage: Eukaryota; Viridiplantae; Streptophyta; Magnoliopsida; Poales; Poaceae
Description: partial small subunit ribosomal RNA
Source: RNAcentral
UGGAAUAGGUGUAGCGGUAAGGAAAGACCGUCGUGGCGAAGAGGAAACAGAAGAGAGAUAGGUAGGUCGCCGAGACGAGAGGAAGGAGAGAGAGAGAGGCACGACGUCAGUGUGUGUGCGGGUGCCGGGCCGUAAGUGGAGAGAGAAGAAGGAGGUGUUACUUGGUUCGUGGUGAGAGACGACCUGGCACCGCCGUCUUAGCUCGUGCCCACGCGCGCCGGCAGAACGGUUACUGGCCACCGACGAAGCGCAAGCAGCUGUCUAACGCUACGACGACGACGAGCAUACCCGAGGGCCACUGGCCCGGUCGUGCGCAACCCCGACCGACCCGAGGAUCGUCGGCCGGAGGGGCGGAGGAGGUUGUAGCGGACCUCUCCUCGAGGAGACACGAAGGCUCGGCGGAGGAGCUCGUCCCGUCGGUCUCCCUUCCCUCAGCGGUGUACCUUGUGUUGACCUUGCGGGGCGGAAUCUCGAGUGACGGAGGCCGUUGGAGAGACAGCCGGAGCACGAGGAGACAGAACUCGUGGGGGAGGACCGGCGGCAGGUAGAGAACCACCACGGACAAUCCGUCCGCAACUACGAAUAGGAGCCAAGAGAGAGACAGUCUACAGAGGAAAUCCGGCUCCUCCUACUCACCCCGAGAGCGUUGACCCGUCGACGCCGGCGCAAUUGACUCCCGCUCGUGCGCACAGGAUGCGUAUACCGGGGAGGAGGCGCGGAGGCGAGGACGAGGAGGAGAGCGGGCCCGUCGCAGGGUGGGUGCGGGAAGUACACGAGCGGCGGCAACAAGACGUGGGCUAGCCUAGCCCUCGCGGCAUCGAGCUAUGUCGGGUUUUUCUAGAACUUGGCAAAAAAGAAAUUGAGUGGCUCCUGACGCCCAACUUAUCGGCUUUAUCAUCUCCCAAAAGACGUUUGUAAGACUGCAUACUGGUCUUCGUGAGGCACGAAAUAAUCAUCCCUUUUCUAUAUGUACAGUUGAUAAAGUACGGGAGAAAAAAGGUGUGAUAGAUAACGUAGACAGAGAGUAUGUUACAGACAUGUAAGUUGAUACAAAGGACAAAUAGUCGGUAAACUUUACCUCGCCCACUACGGUCAUAGAUCGCCUGAUUUUUAUGCCAGAAGUUUAUUUUGUCACGAUGGAUAACCACCUCUAUCGUGGGACCAACAUGUACGUGUUCUUGGUCGCGAUGGUGUGUAUUGGGUUUGAGAGCGUCUAACAUGGGGAUGAUGCUACCUGUCUCUUGGUCGAAGUGGGUUAGAUUGGGGUUGGGGUCGGCUAUUAUUGGAUCAAGGACAACUGUGUCGUGGUAGAGGUGGUAUCUCGAGGGUUUGUUCUCGUCAAUCAUUCCGUCGAGGUCACGGGUUUCCCGGUCAUGAUAGUGCCGCUUGGGGUUGAGGUGGUCAAUCAUGCGGAUAAGGACACUCCUUCGUGUUGGUCGAUCAGCAUCAAAUCGUAGAUAGCGUAAACUACAACAAUUUAGCAUACACGCAUAGAAGGGUAGAACCUUUAUAAUAUGACUUCUACUUCUUUUUACGGUCAACGUCCACAAACAGGUCCUCAAUACAUCUUCCUGGUUAAACCUUUGAGUCCUACUCCAUUGGACACGAUUAUGGAGACGAUAGAAGUUCUUACGAACCACCGUCAUAGCCUUAAUGGACUUUUUUUGCAUGAAGUGGCCGUUUCUUUGAGUAGUUUAAGGGAAUGCAAGAGGACACUGUGUAAAUGACCUGUUACUGACCCUUACGGAACACGACAUGACCAGGGCUUGGUUCUUACACUUACGACUGUUUUAUAACCCCUUCUCACGGAAUAAUUCGUUGUUAUUUCCUUCAUUACGUCUAUUGCAAGUCCUAUCACUGUGUAGGACAGAACCAAAUCACAACCUCAAUAACCGGUGAUGGCGAACGUAUUCGAUAAGUUUGAAUGACAGACCUAGUCAAGCUAAAGAACUCAGAGUUGAUGUUCGACUUUCUGUAGCUAGUCGACCCGACGCUGUUCUUCACCUUCCUGACGCCUUCGGGGACCUUGUAAGUCUACGUAUGAAAGACCACAUUAUCGUUCGCAACCUCCUAAAAUCGCGGUUUGUCCUGUUUCGAUUAGUCGAAAAAUUCGAAUAACGGUCGUACCACCUAUGGGUCCUAUUGCAAAGAACUCGAGAAGACUUCAACAAAGUCAAUACGAGAACAAAACGACAGCGCAAAUAAACGUGACCACCGGUUAAAACUGCCGGUCACAUAUACUAUACGACGAAACAAGGGAUAUAAACGUGACCACCACUUGAAACCACGGGUCACCUACAUUAUACACAUUAUCGGUACUAUCGGAUCGCAAUCAACGAACGAAUAAAUAAAGGAACAACAGAAUAAAUAAA